UGAAUAAACAUUUUAUCUGUGUGUAAUAAUGUUGUUUUUAUUUUGUGGUAAAUGUUUAUUUUAUUUCAUGAUUAGAAGCUUUUUUUUUAAUGUAUGAAUAAAACAGUAUCUGGGUGUACCUAUUUUUUUAUGAUUAGUUUAGUUAGUAUUAUAUGAUGUUAUGCUUUGUUAUGAAUGAUUCAGUACCAGGUGUACUUUUUGUGUUUUAUAAAUGUUAUUGUAGUUGUAUUUGUUGUAUUAUCACAUGUUUUAUUUAAAUGGUUAAAGGAAAGUAUUAAUGUGUCAAACAUGUGGGGAGGGAGAGAUAACUUUGUUUUUCACGGGGGGGGUGAUUCUUUUAGUAAUGUAAAAAUCUGAAUUUUUUUUUACUUAUUCAAUUUUGAUUACUUAUUUUUUUAACAAUAAAUAAAUAUAAAAAGCAUAACCCAUGUUUUUUUUCUCUAUCGCUUAUUUCUUAUUAAAAUAUUCUAACAUAUUUAUUUAUCUUUACACGACUUAGUUAUUUUCUUCAUUUUUUUUUCUU
This 523-nucleotide long non-coding RNA is filed under the name Mytilus galloprovincialis (Mediterranean mussel). The record is from RNAcentral. Lineage: Eukaryota; Metazoa; Mollusca; Bivalvia; Mytilida; Mytilidae.